Long non-coding RNA from Ostrea edulis (European flat oyster), 3460 nucleotides. RefSeq lists it as uncharacterized. The record is from RefSeq and is a predicted model, not a curated record. NCBI's taxonomy places the organism in Eukaryota, Metazoa, Mollusca, Bivalvia, Ostreida, Ostreidae. The transcript is spliced from 5 exons.
CUUAAAAUAGGCUAACUCUUGCGCAAAAAAAGAUAGAAAAUAUCAAAUAUGGGAAAGCGGGACGAUAGACCAAACAUAUCUACGAAGAGACCGUUGGUGCCAGAAAUAUCUCUGUCUUUAGUAGUGUCCGCGAGGUAUAUUAAUUUAUAAAACAUGAGAUAUUAGUACCAUAUUGCCCGGGAAUCAAAAGAUUUUUGCAAGAUCGCAGAAUUCAGCUAGACACACAAAAAAAAAGACAAUCACUACAGCCUUCCAAGAAGAUGGACUGCCUCACAAUAGUUUCCUUGAGGACUGUCUUGAAAUAUCCAGAGUUUAAGAUUCAAGAAACGGACUCUAUCUGGAAAAGGAAAACAAUAUCAAAGCUCCUCUGUGAGAAGUUGGCCAAGGAAAGCAUUCAGAAGAAAGUGGAGAUUCAUUGUUUUUACCAGAUCCAGCAGAUCACAGAAAGCAUCUAGUAGGGGAGGGUAGUUUAGAACUGUGUGCAUUGGUUUUGGAAGAAUUUGGGCUGUUUAGGCUAAAAUCCAUUAUGAUUGGACAGAAUAUGAACACACACAUCCAAUACUUCAAAGAUAUUAUGUUUGUGGAGGCAGAGAUUUUGAUUGCAUCCACUGUUUAGAAUACAUCCUUAAGGGAAGCAGACUGCCGCCUUUACCCAAUGAUAUAAUGAUUAAUCAUAACUAUAUCUGUUUUGUACCAAAUAGAAAGAGCAUUGAUUCAGGUCAUUUUCAAAUCCACUGGCAUACAUUGUACUAUACAUGCAACCUUUUCAAACUUUACAUUUAAGAUUUUAUAAAGGAAAUAUCUUAAUGUUUCACAUGUUUACCUUUCACUGUGCUAUGUAAUUCAUUAUACCUGCCAUUAUGCCAGUCUUCCUGAACAUAAUUUGUUUUCUGCAAUUUCAUUGGCCAAGAGGCUUAAUCCUGGGUUAUCAGAUUGAGCAUUUAUAUUUAGUAUCCCAUUGAUUUUGUCAGCCCUAUAUAAGGAGCUGACUCAGAUUUACUCACUCUGCUAGGUUAAAGAACUCUAAGGUUUGUACUUUUCACAUGAAUUUCGUGUUCGCCUCUUAUCUUUUACAUAGAGUAGGAAAUGAACAUAACAUUGAGUUAGGGAACUAUUUAGAUUUUACAUUAUAAUAUGUAAAUACCUUAGCAGAGUCAAUUUACUUGGUUCAGGGUAGUAUCAGAUAUUACUUUUUCAGAGUUUAAGUGUUUAGGCUAUCUCAAUGUUUCUAUAGUUAGCCUUGUCCUAUGUUACUUUUAGAUGUAUGGAAGCCUUUUAGUGUUAUAACACUAUAUUUAUGCCCCCAUUCAAAGAAGAGGGACAUAUUGGUUUGCACCUGUUGGUCGGUCGGUAGACCACAUGUUGUCCGCUUAAUAUCUUAAGAACCAUUCACUUGAUCGUAAUAUAUUUCAUAUGUGGGUUGGUUAUGAAAAGAAGAGGACCCCAAUUGUUUUUCAGGUCGAAAUGUCAAGGGUCAAUCUACUCUGGACAUAGGAAGACACUGCCUGCUCAAUAUCUUGAGAACCCUUUGCUUGACAGACAUCAAACUUGGUACACUGGUACAUCUCAAGGAGUAGAUUUAAGGUCAUAUGGUCAAAGGUCAAGGGGUAAACUGGACAUAGUAAUAUAUUGUCUCUUAUGUUUUAAGAAUUAUUUGCUUGAUUGACACCAAACCUGGUACAGCAUAAGGAGUAGAUGACCCCUAUUGAUUUUUAGGUCACUUGGUCAAUCCACUCCUGACAUAGGAAGAUAUUGUUUGCUCAAUAUUUCGAAUUGAUGAUACUACUAUCAAUCAAAUUAUGCAUAUGUAUAACCCUUUUCAAUUUUGCACCAUGGGGGCUUAUAUGUAAUUGUUUUACAAACACCUCAUGUUUUAUAGUUUGUGAAAGCUUGUUAGGGUCAUAACUUUAGAUUUUCUUAUUAUGGUACUUGCCCGUCAGAGACUGGACAUAUUAUGGUAUGGUGUUGUCUGUCCGGACCUUGUAAGAUGGGAUACAGACUGAACCGUAAGCUCUAGAAUCUUACAACUUGGUACAUUUGAUCACCAUAAAAGGAAGAUGCUUAUUGUUUUUUAAGGUCAAGGUUGUAGGUUCACUUAAUAGGAAAACCUUGUUCGAGAAAAUUACAGAUUCUUGAACUGAGUAUUUUGAGGAAACAUUACAUAGAAAGUACAUGAUUUGUCAAAUUUCUCCCAAUAUUCAACUGAGAACCUUAUUCUGCAGAGUAUUUGUAUGGGUAUGGAAAAUGUGUAUGUGGCUAUGAUUUUGAUUUUUGUUAAAAAUUUUGUUGUUGAAAAUUACAGGUUUAACCGAGUCAGUUUUUGAGGAAAUAUACAUGUAUUAAAUAAAUGACGGUUUGACCUUUUAACUCCUCUCACAGUUUUGAAGCUAGGGUCUUUGUAAAUAACUUCUUUGGUGUUUUAGAAUAUUUACAGAUUGUUGAUCAUGGUCAAUUUUGGGGAAAUAUUUUCCGCAGAGCUCUAGUUGUCUAUCUACCGGCCUCCUGUCACUUUUAAGUUUAGGAGCUUUUAUUCAUGGAAAGAAAGUAUGUGACAAUCUGAUGAUGGCUGAUACUAUUUAAAGCCUUUUUAUACGCCCGUCUUAAGAUGGGACGUAUUAUGGUAUGGCGUUCAUGUCCGUCCGUCUGUUAGCUUUUUCGUGUCCGACCCGUAACUUAAAUACUACAAGGCCUAGAAUCGUCAAACUUUGUCUGUAGAUACAUCUUGGGUAGAAGGUGUGUCACACAUUAAAACCAGGUCACUGUGACUUUUCAUUAAGAAGAUAUCCGUCUGUCCGUCCGUCUGUUAGCUUUUUCGUGUCCGACCCGUAACUUAAAUACUACAAGGCCUAGAAUCAUCAAACUUUGUAGAUACAUCUUGGGUAGAAGGUGUGUCACACAUUAAAACCAGGUCACUGUGACUUUUCAUUAAGAAGAUAUCCGUCUGUCCGUCCGUCUGUUAGCUUUUUCGUGUCCGACCCGUAACUUAAAUACUACAAGGCCUAGAAUCAUCAAACUUUGUCUGUAGAUACAUCUUGGGUAGAAGGUGUGUCGCACAUUAAAACCAGGUCACUGUGACUUUUCAUUAGGAAGAUAUGGCCAUAUAUGGCAAAAACUUGUCCGACUCAUAACUUGAAAACUAUUAGACCUAGAAUCACCAAAAUUGGUCAACUAAUGCAUCUUAGGUAGAAGGUGUGUCGCAUCCUACUUUAAGGUCACUGUGACAUUUAAUUAAGGUGAUAUAAAAAAAAUGUUUUAAUGGGUACAAUCUAUACUGUUAACAAUAUGUGACGGGCAUAUCAUGUGCCAUGGCGGUGCACUUUAUUCUAGAAAUGGCAUCAGAAAAACACCCUAUGUAACCUUUUCUGCUUGUACUCAUUUAUUUUUAUUGGAAAACUUAUUACUUGUUAUCAGCUACUCUAAAACAAUAUUGACUUGUGCUAUAAUAAAUUUGUAAACUUUA